Molecule: small RNA, 3086 nt
Filed under: Arabidopsis thaliana (thale cress)
Lineage: Eukaryota; Viridiplantae; Streptophyta; Magnoliopsida; Brassicales; Brassicaceae
Description: ATSL047650
Source: RNAcentral
AUACGAUAUAUAUCUUCACUUAACAAAGUAACAAAAAUAAUUUUUAUAUAUCUUCAAAAGCAUACUAUAUACCAAUUUUUAGAAGAAAAAAUAUAUAUUUUAAUGUAAUUUUUAUUACUUUCACAAAAUGGUGAAUGUAAAGGCAGUAUAUGGAUAUGAGGAUGAAAAGGGUGAGACCGCGGUAGUAAAAUUUUGGGAAUGAUCUCUGUUUGUACCGAAGUUGUAACAAUAAUUAUUAAGGGGUUUGGGGAGAACGGAGUAGCUUCUUUAUUAAUGACGAACGAAAAGACAAUAAUUAACAGAACGGAAAACCGUAAGUACAGAACGGAGAACCGAAAGUACAGGUCGGAAAAUCGAUAUUAAUGGUCGGAAAACCAGAAAAUACAGAACGGAAAACCAGAAAAUAAGAGAUAAAGAGCUAGGCAGCAAUUCUCUCUUAAAUCCUCUGAGUGGUGACUUAGGUUCUGGAUCCCUCUUCUUAGUAGUGUCUCCUCUUAUUUAUAGGCAAGAAGCUGAUCUAGGGUUCUCUUAGUCUCUCUUGCGAUUUCUCCGUUUUGCCCUUCUAAAUUUAUCGGGCUGGGCCAAGCCGUGAUGGGCUGAGCUGUGAUGGGCCGAGCAGUCAUUCUGAUGGGCCGUUGUUUUGAUGGGCCGUUCUUCCUUGUUAGUAGCUUUCUUGACUUGUUCUAUUUGUGUUUGGGCCGAAUUGGGCAUGGAGGGCAAAGCCCGUAUCCCACAAUUAGUCCCCCCCGAGUUCGGCGAGAGAAGGUUGCUUGCGAUCGGCGAACAUUUUCCUGAAACCGGAACUAUGCCAAUUUGGCCCGAACCAAGGAAAAAUUCUUUGUUUGAGCAAGUGUGGAUUUUUGCAAGAGUCAGAGAAUCGCAAGAGGUGGAAAGAUAUAUGCUCGUUUGAGAGCUCGACGAUCUUCGAAGAUAGAUGAUUGUAGGAGAGCUUGAUUAUCUUCGAUGAUAGGCGCUCGUGGGAGAGCUGGAAGAUCUUUGAAGAUAGGCGCUUGCGGGAGAGCUUGACGAUCAUGAAGAGAGGUGCUCAUGGGAGAAAUUGAUGAGUUUGGAGAUAGUCGCUCGUGGGAGAGCUAUAAGAUCUUCUGAGAUAGGCGCUAGCAGGAGAGCCUGACGAUCUUGGAGAUAGGCGUCCGUGGAAGAGCUUUAAGAUCUUUGGAUGUAUGUGCUCGUAGGAGACGGAAGAGCUCGACGAUCUUGGACAUAGGCGCUCGUGGGAGAGCUAGAAGAUCUUUGGAGAUAGGUGCUCGAGGGAGAGCUUGACGAUCUUGGAGAUAGGCGCUCGUGUGAGAGCUUGACAAUUUCGGAGAUAGGCACUCGUGUGAGAGCUUGAAAAUUUUAGAGAUAGGCGCUUGUGUGAGAGCUUGAGGAUCUCAGAGAUAGGCGCUCGUGGGCGAGCUAGAAGAUCUCUGAGAUAUGCGCUCGUUGGAGAGGUUGAUGAUCUUUGGAGAUAGACGCUCGUGUGCGAGCUUGACGAUCUUAGGAGACAUGCGCUCGUGGGAGAGCUUGAUUAUCUUGGAGAUAUGCGCUCGUUGGAGAGGUAGAAGAUCUUUCGAGAUGUGCGCUCGUGGGGGAGCUAAAAGAUCUUUUGAGAUAGGAGCUCGCGGGAGAGCUUGAUGAUUUUUGGAGAUAAGCGCUUUUGAAGAGUUAGGUGUUUGUGCAAGAGCAAAGUUGUUUGAACGAGGAACGUCUCGGUGAAGAUACUAAAAUCGAUGCAAGGCGUGCUGGUCUUGUAUAAAAGAGUUCAAUGAGGUCAAUUUUGAAGGUGUACUUGGUGAGAUUAGUGUGAGGAGCAUGAAAGAUAAAAGAGGUCGGCCGUAGAGAUGUUUAGGCGAGAUCGAUGUGAAAUGCGUAAAUGUGAGCACGAGGUAUUUGAGCUUGGCUACAAUUUUCCGUUGAGGCCGGCACGAAUUGCGUCAAGGUCGCAUGAUAUGCGUCGAGGUCGGUGCAUGUUGGAUCGUGCGCAAUGUGAGUCGAGGUCGGCACAACGCGUGUAUUCUCGGCAAGAAUCUUGCGUCGAGGUAGGCAGGUGAUCUAGUUCUUACAUGGGCUAUGAGUUUGAAUCGCUAAGGGAGUUCGGCGGGAAAGGAGUCGGUGAAUGAGGUCGGCAAUGAGUUCAGGGAGAAUCGUUGCGAGAUUUACUCCGAUAUGUUGCAAGUUUGCGAGACAGCCUAGCUUUGUUCUUCUACAGGUUUGCGGGAAUGCUUGACUCUGAUUUGGUGGGAGUUUGUCGAGCUGUCAACAUUUGUUCUUCUAGGAGUUUGACGAGCUAUGUAGCUCUGAUAUUCUACGAAUUUGUUGAGAUGCCUAGCUUCAUGCUUCUAGGAGUUUGUCGAGCUGUGUAGCUCUGAUUCUCUACGAGUUUGCUAAGAUGCCUAGCACCGAAAUGCUGUGAGUUUGCCGAGCUGUGUAGCUCUGAUCCACUGCGAGUCUGCAAAGAUGCAUAGCAACGAUAUGCUGGGAGUUUGUCGAGCUGUGUAUCUCUGAUCCACUACGAGUUUGCUAAGAUGCCUAGCAACGAUAUGCUGGGAGUUUGCGAAGUUCCCUAGUUAGAUCUUUUGCAUGUUUAUGGGAAUGCCUAGCGUUGGGUGGAGAACGAUCGGGGAUAAGUUUUGUUUGAUGCGAUGGAUCAGGUCAACAAGAUGGUUCUGUUCCAUGUGAUGGCUUCGUCUAGUGAGAAGGUUCGGUGGAGGCUGAACGUUUUGUAAGUGAUAGAUGUAGUGUGGCAUCGCCAAAGGUGUAGCUCGAUGCGAUUAUUGAUGCUUAGCAAGAUUGGAGAUUAGUUCGGCGAUUUGAUGAGGAUUACUUUGUAGCUUAGUGAAGAACGCUCAAUCGUUUGCUUCGGGGAUGGGAAUGCUUUGUAGUUCGCUGAGGACUGAACGCUCCGUAUUUUAGAGCUAGAAACGCUUGUUGGUUCUGCGAUGAACGCUUGGUAAGUAACGCUCGCCUGUUAGGCAAGGAUUGAACGUUGGAGGUUUUUGAGCUAGGAACGUUUGAUAGUUUUGUUAAUAAAGAACGCUUGGUGAGUAAUGCUCUGCAAGGAACGCUUGGCUGGGAACACUUGCUUU